UACGAGCGCACCCCUUAUCCUUAGUUGCCAGCACGUAAUGGUGGGAACUCUAAGGAGACUGCCGGUGACAAACCGGAGGAAGGUGGGGACGACGUCAAGUCAUCAUGGCCCUUACGAGAUGGGCUACACACGUGCUACAAUGGCAAGUACAAAGGGUUGCAAACUCGCGAGAGUAAGCGGAUCCCAUAAAGCUUGUCGUAGUCCGGAUUGGAGUCUGCAACUCGACUCCAUGAAGUCGGAAUCGCUAGUAAUCGUGGAUCAGAAUGCCACGGUGAAUACGUUCCCGGGCCUUGUACACACCGCCCGUCACACCAUGGGAGUGGGCUGCAAAAGAAGUGGAUAGCUUAACCUUCGGGAGGGCGUUCACCACUUUGUGGUUCAUGACUGGGGUGAAGUCGUAACAAGGUAGCCGUAGGGGAACCUGCGGCUGGAUCACCUCCUU
RNAcentral lists this ribosomal RNA (442 nucleotides) under uncultured Gammaproteobacteria bacterium. RNAcentral's name for it is "bacterial SSU rRNA". It matches the Rfam family "Bacterial small subunit ribosomal RNA", at positions 1091 to 1532 of the family's 1533-position model. Lineage: Bacteria; Pseudomonadati; Pseudomonadota; Gammaproteobacteria. The record is from RNAcentral.